GAAAAUCCAUUAACAUUAUUGUUGUAAGGGUUCAAAUCCCUUUAUCUCU
Molecule: transfer RNA, 49 nt
Filed under: Plasmodium falciparum NF54
Lineage: Eukaryota; Apicomplexa; Aconoidasida; Haemosporida; Plasmodiidae
Also listed under: 1 other name
Description: tRNA-OTHER
Source: RNAcentral